RNAcentral lists this ribosomal RNA (799 nucleotides) under uncultured Glomus. Its description in RNAcentral is "SSU rRNA". It matches the Rfam family "Eukaryotic small subunit ribosomal RNA", at positions 314 to 1114 of the family's 1831-position model. Lineage: Eukaryota; Fungi; Glomeromycota; Glomeromycetes; Glomerales; Glomeraceae. The record is from RNAcentral. RNAcentral also lists the same sequence under 2 other names.
AUCAACUUUCGAUGGUAGGAUAGAGGCCUACCAUGGUGGUAACGGGUAACGGGGUGUUAGGGCACGACACCGGAGAGGGAGCCUGAGAAACGGCUACCACAUCCAAGGAUGGCAGCAGGCGCGCAAAUUACCCAAUCCCGACACGGGGAGGUAGUGACAAUAAAUAACAAUACGGGGUUCUUUAGGAUCUCGUAAUUGGAAUGAGUACAAUUUAAAUCUCUUAACGAGGAACAAUUGGAGGGCAAGUCUGGUGCCAGCAGCCGCGGUAAUUCCAGCUCCAAUAGCGUAUAUUAAAGUUGUUGCAGUUAAAAAGCUCGUAGUUGAAUUUCGGGGUCAGUAGGUUGGUCGUGCCACCGGUACGUACUGGUCUCACUGAUUCCUCCUUCCUGAUGAGCUGUAAUGCCAUUAAUUUGGUGUUGCAGGGAAUCUGGACUGUUACUUUGAAAAAAUUAGAGUGUUUAAAGCAGGCUAACGCUUGAAUACAUUAGCAUGGAAUAAUGAAAUAGGACGUUCGAUCCUAUUUUGUUGGUUUCUAGGAUUGACGUAAUGAUUAAUAGGGAUAGUUGGGGGCAUUAGUAUUCAAUUGUCAGAGGUGAAAUUCUUGGAUUUAUUGAAGACUAACUACUGCGAAAGCAUUUGCCAAGGAUGUUUUCAUUAAUCAAGAACGAAAGUUAGGGGAUCGAAGACGAUCAGAUACCGUCGUAGUCUUAACCAUAAACUAUGCCGACUAGGGAUCGGAUGAUGUUAAUUUUUUAAUGACUCAUUCGGCGCCUUACGGGAAACCAAAGUGUUUGGGUUC